Molecule: long non-coding RNA, 1695 nt
Filed under: Gallus gallus (chicken)
Lineage: Eukaryota; Metazoa; Chordata; Aves; Galliformes; Phasianidae
Description: lncRNA (ENSGALG00010025537.1)
Source: RNAcentral
CGCGGGUCGGGCGCUCGGUCGCAGCGCAGGCCCCGACCCCUUAGGCCUCAGGAUCAAAAACUCAUGUGUGAGGCGUUCGGGUCGAUGGACAAUCAUAUAUUCCUAGGAGCGCACAAACACAUAAUUUUCUAUCUUCUGUAACAGGGAGGUUAUGUCACAGUCACUGAUCUCAGUGCCCGUUCCCACAAGUUUACCUUGUCAGAACUUCUGUGACCUGCAGGAUUGCAAAACGGUUUUAAAAGAUGAACAAAUCAGAUAGGGACUGGCUCAGACUCUGGGACUGGCCAACCCAGGAAGGUUACUGCGCGGUGAGGUGGUGGUGGAUGGCCACAGUGGGAGUGCCACACAGUAAUGGAUGUGCAGUACAUUUACUAGCUAACUUCACAAAUGGUAUUAGACAUCAAAAGUAACAUAGAAUCACAGGAUCGUUAAGGUUGGAAAAGACCACUAAGAUGAUCUAAUCCAACCACCAACCCAUCCCCACCAUGCCCACUAAACGUGUCCCUCAGUGCCACAUCUCAAGUUUCUUGAAUGCCCCCAGGGACAGUGACUCCCUCCCCUGGGCUGCCUGCUCCAAUGCCUGACGACUGUUUCUGAGAAGUUUAUCCUAAUAUCCAGCCCGAACCUCCCCUGGCACAACUUGAGGCCAACACCUCUUAUCCUAUUGCUGUUAUGUGGGAGAAGAGGCUGACCCCCACCUCACUACCACCUCCUUUCAGGGCAUUGUAGAGAGGUCUCCCCUGAGCCUCCUCUUCUCUAGACUGAACAAUCCCAGUUCCCUCAGCCACUCUCCAUAAGACCUGUGUUCCAGACCCUUCAUGGCUUUGUUGCCCUUCUAUAAGCACGCUCCCGUGCAUCACUGUCUUUCUUGUAGUGAGAGGCCCAAAACUGAACACCAUACUUGAGGUGCAGCCUAACUAGAACUGAGUACAGAGUAUCACCUCCAGCUCCUCCUGGCUGCACUAUUUCUGACACAAGUCAGGAUGCUGUUGGCCUUCAUGGCCACCCGGGCACACUGCUGGUUCAUGUUCAGCUGGCUGUUGACUAGCAUUAUCAGAUACUUUUCAUCUGUGCAAUUUUCCAGCCACUCUGCCCCAAGCCUGUAGUAUUGCAUGGGGCUAUUGUGACCAAAGUGCAGGACCUGGCACUUGGUCUUGUUGAACUUCAUCCCAUUGGCCUCAGCCCAUUGAUCCAGCCUAUCCAGAUCCCUCUGUAGGGCCUUCCUACCCCCAGGCAGAUGUACACUUCCUCUCAGCUUGGUGUCAUCUGCAACCUACUGAGAAUGCACUCAAUCCCCUCAUCCAGGUUAUCAAUAAAGAUAUCACACAGGGCUGGCCCCAGUGCUGACCCUUAGGGAACACCAUUCACGACCAGUGGGAGUGGAAUGCAGCCAUGCACUGCACACUACAACAGCCAACAGGCCAGGUCAGGCCACCAAAGGCUUGAGCAACUUUUGAGGGAACUUGAUUGACUGCUACAAUUCUAGCAGUCACAUUUUAACUUCUAUAUGCCAAACACCACACAGCAGGGUUCAGUUACACAUAGGCCUUGCAUUUACAGCUACACCUUUCCCUCGAUUGAAUGGGCAUGCCUAUAUUCUUCCUUCUCCCCUGCAGGUACUCACAGAUGUGUUGUAAGAUGGUGGCAGAAAGGCCCAUCUUCCUUACAUGUACAUUAGGGAUUUGCUUCCAUCUU